UACGAAGGGGGGCUAGCGUUGUUCGGAAUCACUGGGCGUAAAGGGCGCGUAGGCGGCGCGACAAGUCAGGCGUGAAAAGCCCCGGGCUCAACCCGGGGGAAUUUGCGCUUGAUACUGUCGUGCUUGAGGCCGGGGAGAGGAUGGCGGAAUUCCCAGUGUAGAGGUGAAAUUCGUUAGAUAUUUGGGGAAGAAACACCGGGUGGGCGAAAGGCGGCCAUCUGGGACCGGUUCUGACGCUGAGGCGCGAAAAGCGUGGGGGAGCAAAACAGGG
Molecule: ribosomal RNA, 271 nt
Filed under: uncultured bacterium
Lineage: Bacteria
Description: partial 16S ribosomal RNA
Rfam family: Bacterial small subunit ribosomal RNA
Source: RNAcentral